Molecule: long non-coding RNA, 504 nt
Organism: Haliaeetus leucocephalus (bald eagle)
Lineage: Eukaryota; Metazoa; Chordata; Aves; Accipitriformes; Accipitridae
Exons: 5
Source: RefSeq, a predicted model, not a curated record
GGGAUUCAAGUCUUGACUAAACCAGACAAAUUCAUUCAGAAGCAGCAGGGGUGGGAGAAAUUCUAGAGACUGACUGAGUAAAACAAUCCCCUGUCCUUGGAAGAGUUUGAAGACUAUUAUUCUGAGCACAGCUACGUGCCUCCUGAGUUGGGAAGAUUCCUGCUCCAUGCAUGUUCCCUGUCAAGGAGAGAAAUGCCCCAUGAUUCAAGCGCCACAUUUCUGGGAAAGGAAGGAGCAGUUGGAGGUUGCAGGUAGGAUUGGUGUGAAAUGUGCCAGAGACUUGAACAAGGGUCCUCAACAGACGUUCCACCUCUCUGUUUUGAAACUGAUCCUGGAAGUCUUUAAGAUUAAUGGUUCCACACUGAGGAUGUCAGAUUCGGAGCUUUCUAAGGAAGCUGCUGCCUUAAAAUACGCCAAGAGAAUUCCUAUUGUUCAGGUGACAUAAUGAGGCUGAGAUGCAAAUGCAGAGGGAAGCAGUAGCUGGUAUGUUUUGACUGAUUCCUU